GUGAACGCUGGCGGUAGGCCUAACACAUGCAAGUCGAACGGCAGCACAGUAAGAGCUUGCUCUUACGGGUGGCGAGUGGCGGACGGGUGAGGAAUACAUCGGAAUCUACUUUUUCGUGGGGGAUAACGUAGGGAAACUUACGCUAAUACCGCAUACGACCUACGGGUGAAAGCAGGGGAUCUUCGGACCUUGCGCGAUUGAAUGAGCCGAUGUCGGAUUAGCUAGUUGGCGGGGUAAAGGCCCACCAAGGCGACGAUCCGUAGCUGGUCUGAGAGGAUGAUCAGCCACACUGGAACUGAGACACGGUCCAGACUCCUACGGGAGGCAGCAGUGGGGAAUAUUGGACGAAGGGCGCAAGCCUGAUCCAGCCAUACCGCGUGGGUGAAGAAGGCCUUCGGGUUGUAAAGCCCUUUUGUUGGGAAAGAAAAGCAGCAGGUUAAUACCCCGCUGUUCUGACGGUACCCAAAGAAUAAGCACCGGCUAACUUCGUG
Molecule: ribosomal RNA, 491 nt
Filed under: uncultured bacterium
Lineage: Bacteria
Description: partial 16S ribosomal RNA
Rfam family: Bacterial small subunit ribosomal RNA
Source: RNAcentral